AUGACCAGGUCUGAACAAGAAGCCAAGAACCAAGAACACAAUCCAUUUCUCCUACACCAGUGGCAGAAACCCAAUCCCUUAUGCCAUUGUUAUUGUCUUCCAGGAUCUGCAUUGGCCGGAAUCUGGAGUCUGGAGCCAAAGCCAAGAAUUAAACUCAGGAUGAUCACUUCAAGUUUCUAAAGGUGGUCUCUGCGCCUGCUGCUCCCUCUGCUGAUCUGAAGCCGCACAGCCCAGCACGAUUCCUACCUACUUGGUUUUCUGGAGGUAAGGCCCCAGGAACCGCUCCUUUUUUUUUUUCAUCCAAUGAUUACUUUUCUUAUGGGAGGGUUAGAAUUUCCCUCUGCCUGUUCCCCACCCACUACCAACUGGCACCCCAGGCUUUGAGCAUAAAUGCCAGCCCCUCAAUUAUAUCUGACAGGGAAAGCCCAAAAGGAAAAGGAAAAGAUAUGAGAAGUGUCCACUAGAUGGCGGAAUUGAUCAAGCAGAAUAGCUCGUGAGGGCUGUGAACUCCAGGAACAAAACUGGUUUGGAAGAGAAUACUCCAAGAGCAAGUGCCUCCACGUUUCCCCCCAAGAAUGCCCUUGAUCUGCCCACAGGUGCUCUGAGUUCAUGCUGGCUGCACUGGUUUUACAUUCCACGAGUAGAGUGGCACUUUAGGGUGUGACAUCAUGGUGUCUGCCCCUUAGCAUGUUAACACUUUGUGAUGCUCACAACAGAGAUAUGAGAUGCUUUUGGGAUGAGGUGAUCCUGAAGACAGAAUGUAUCUACACAGUCAAAAAGCUGACACUUAUUAUUUAACAUCCCAGGCAGGACACUGGAAUCAUCCAUUAUUUUGAGGGACUAUCCAUUGUCUACACAUUGGUCCAAGCCAAGCAACAGAAAUUAGAUUAUCAAUAAAGUUUUCAUCUUGGGUUUACA
Molecule: long non-coding RNA, 918 nt
Organism: Oryctolagus cuniculus (rabbit)
Lineage: Eukaryota; Metazoa; Chordata; Mammalia; Lagomorpha; Leporidae
Source: Ensembl